CAGGCCUAACACAUGCAAGUCGAGCGGAAACGACUUAUCUGAACCUUCGGGGAACGUUAAGGGCGUCGAGCGGCGGACGGGUGAGUAAUGCCUAGGAAAUUGCCCUGAUGUGGGGGAUAACCAUUGGAAACGAUGGCUAAUACCGCAUGAUGCCUACGGGCCAAAGAGGGGGACCUUCGGGCCUCUCGCGUCAGGAUAUGCCUAGGUGGGAUUAGCUAGUUGGUGAGGUAAUGGCUCACCAAGGCGACGAUCCCUAGCUGGUCUGAGAGGAUGAUCAGCCACACUGGAACUGAGACACGGUCCAGACUCCUACGGGAGGCAGCAGUGGGGAAUAUUGCACAAUGGGCGCAAGCCUGAUGCAGCCAUGCCGCGUGUGUGAAGAAGGCCUUCGGGUUGUAAAGCACUUUCAGUCGUGAGGAAGGUAGUGUCGUUAAUAGCGUCAUUAUUUGACGUUAGCGACAGAAGAAGCACCGGCUAACUCCGUGCCAGCAGCCGCGGUAAUACGGAGGGUGCGAGCGUUAAUCGGA
This 527-nucleotide ribosomal RNA is filed under the name Vibrio sp. OT205. Its description in RNAcentral is "bacterial SSU rRNA". It matches the Rfam family "Bacterial small subunit ribosomal RNA", at positions 43 to 549 of the family's 1533-position model. Lineage: Bacteria; Pseudomonadati; Pseudomonadota; Gammaproteobacteria; Vibrionales; Vibrionaceae. The record is from RNAcentral.